AUCUCGCAAGAGUGAACUAGCUAACUGAAAUCUUCUUUAUGCUUAAGGGCAUAAAGUCACAAUGUGAAAAAAGGAUAAGGUAAAGGAAAAUAAUGAUGUUACUUUACUAUAGUGUUGUCUAAAACUGGUGCCAGAAGACUCGGUAAGGCCAGAAACGCAAACGUUAGUCAUCUUUAUCAGGCGUAAAGGGUUAGUAGGCUGCUUUUAUCAUUAACCACUAGGAAAAACUAUUAUGGUUUUUACUAUAAAUAAUAUUUUCUAUGUAAAACUUUUGAACAUAGGAUAGGUUAAUACAACUAAAAGCUAGAAUCAAAUAGAGGUUAUGGAAUUUAAUAUUUAAAACAGGGGUUAAAUCCUUAGAAUUUAAAUAGAAAAUUAAUGGCGAAGGCUUUUUUUCCACUACUGAUUAUGAGUGUAUAAUUUUAAAUAAUUAAUAGCUUGUAAAUUUGACGCUGAGUAACUAAGGGGAGGAUAGGAAAUAGGAUUAGAUACCCAGAUACCCCUCCCUGUCAACGAUGAAUGGUAAUUUCUAGUUAGAGUAAUCUUAAUACUAGUUUUAAUGUUAACACGUUAACCAUUCCGCCUUGUGAGUACGACUGCAAAGUUGAAAACAAAAAAAUUAGUCGGUUUCGGAGCAAACGAAGUGA
Molecule: ribosomal RNA, 647 nt
Filed under: Vararia lincangensis
Lineage: Eukaryota; Fungi; Basidiomycota; Agaricomycetes; Russulales; Lachnocladiaceae
Description: partial small subunit ribosomal RNA
Rfam family: Bacterial small subunit ribosomal RNA
Source: RNAcentral